This 30-nucleotide non-coding RNA is filed under the name Cricetulus griseus (Chinese hamster). The record is from RNAcentral. Lineage: Eukaryota; Metazoa; Chordata; Mammalia; Rodentia; Cricetidae.
AGGGAGUCAAACAUCGACUGGAACACGCCG